AUACGAAGGGGGCAAGCGUUGUUCGGAAUAACUGGGCGUAAAGCGCACGUAGGCGGAUUGAUCAGUUAGAGGUGAAAUCCCAGGGCUCAACCCUGGAACUGCCUUUAAUACUGUCAGUCUAGAGAUCGAGAGAGGUGAGUGGAAUUCCGAGUGUAGAGGUGAAAUUCGUAGAUAUUCGGAGGAACACCAGUGGCGAAGGCGGCUCACUGGCUCGAUACUGACGCUGAGGUGCGAAAGCGUGGGGAGCAAACAGAAUUAGAAACCCCAGUAGUCC
This 274-nucleotide ribosomal RNA is filed under the name uncultured bacterium. RNAcentral describes it as "partial 16S ribosomal RNA". It matches the Rfam family "Bacterial small subunit ribosomal RNA", at positions 523 to 796 of the family's 1533-position model. The record is from RNAcentral.